Molecule: ribosomal RNA, 1414 nt
Filed under: Lactiplantibacillus plantarum
Lineage: Bacteria; Bacillati; Bacillota; Bacilli; Lactobacillales; Lactobacillaceae
Also listed under: 1 other name
Description: bacterial SSU rRNA
Rfam family: Bacterial small subunit ribosomal RNA
Source: RNAcentral
GCAGUCGAACGAACUCUGGUAUUGAUUGGUGCUUGCAUCAUGAUUUACAUUUGAGUGAGUGGCGAACUGGUGAGUAACACGUGGGAAACCUGCCCAGAAGCGGGGGAUAACACCUGGAAACAGAUGCUAAUACCGCAUAACAACUUGGACCGCAUGGUCCGAGCUUGAAAGAUGGCUUCGGCUAUCACUUUUGGAUGGUCCCGCGGCGUAUUAGCUAGAUGGUGGGGUAACGGCUCACCAUGGCAAUGAUACGUAGCCGACCUGAGAGGGUAAUCGGCCACAUUGGGACUGAGACACGGCCCAAACUCCUACGGGAGGCAGCAGUAGGGAAUCUUCCACAAUGGACGAAAGUCUGAUGGAGCAACGCCGCGUGAGUGAAGAAGGGUUUCGGCUCGUAAAACUCUGUUGUUAAAGAAGAACAUAUCUGAGAGUAACUGUUCAGGUAUUGACGGUAUUUAACCAGAAAGCCACGGCUAACUACGUGCCAGCAGCCGCGGUAAUACGUAGGUGGCAAGCGUUGUCCGGAUUUAUUGGGCGUAAAGCGAGCGCAGGCGGUUUUUUAAGUCUGAUGUGAAAGCCUUCGGCUCAACCGAAGAAGUGCAUCGGAAACUGGGAAACUUGAGUGCAGAAGAGGACAGUGGAACUCCAUGUGUAGCGGUGAAAUGCGUAGAUAUAUGGAAGAACACCAGUGGCGAAGGCGGCUGUCUGGUCUGUAACUGACGCUGAGGCUCGAAAGUAUGGGUAGCAAACAGGAUUAGAUACCCUGGUAGUCCAUACCGUAAACGAUGAAUGCUAAGUGUUGGAGGGUUUCCGCCCUUCAGUGCUGCAGCUAACGCAUUAAGCAUUCCGCCUGGGGAGUACGGCCGCAAGGCUGAAACUCAAAGGAAUUGACGGGGGCCCGCACAAGCGGUGGAGCAUGUGGUUUAAUUCGAAGCUACGCGAAGAACCUUACCAGGUCUUGACAUACUAUGCAAAUCUAAGAGAUUAGACGUUCCCUUCGGGGACAUGGAUACAGGUGGUGCAUGGUUGUCGUCAGCUCGUGUCGUGAGAUGUUGGGUUAAGUCCCGCAACGAGCGCAACCCUUAUUAUCAGUUGCCAGCAUUAAGUUGGGCACUCUGGUGAGACUGCCGGUGACAAACCGGAGGAAGGUGGGGAUGACGUCAAAUCAUCAUGCCCCUUAUGACCUGGGCUACACACGUGCUACAAUGGAUGGUACAACGAGUUGCGAACUCGCGAGAGUAAGCUAAUCUCUUAAAGCCAUUCUCAGUUCGGAUUGUAGGCUGCAACUCGCCUACAUGAAGUCGGAAUCGCUAGUAAUCGCGGAUCAGCAUGCCGCGGUGAAUACGUUCCCGGGCCUUGUACACACCGCCCGUCACACCAUGAGAGUUUGUAACACCCAAAGUCGGUGGGGUAA